AGAGACCCAUCAGGCGGGGAGGGCCUGGGCGGUGGCGGCGCCCCCUUGGUGGGGCCGCAGAGCGGAGGAGCAGCAGCUGCCACCGGCCGGAAGCCUGCUGGCUCGGCCGAGAACAAUGGCCGCCUGUCACUGUGGACAGCUGUCUCCCAGGCUAAGGCAAGGCUGCGCUCCCAGGGAAUGCGGGCAGGGAGCCAGGGCGGAGGGCAGAGGACGAGAGCGAGGAGGAGAGCGCGGGCACCCACUGAUGCUGGCGGCCUCGGGUAUUCGCUUUCUCUCUCUUCUCCCACCUUGUUCCUUUUCCCCGGAUGCACGCAUGCACUAGUAAUGCCGAAUUUAGAACAACAGGGAAAGGAAAGGAAAUGGCAAAGGAAGGGAAAGGAAAUGGCCGACAGGAAAUGGCAAGGAAGGGAAAAUCCACUGCAACUCUGCUGCCUGCUGGCCUGUCCAGGGACAACUAUUCAGCUGGGUGGGACGUUGCUACCCCCUUGUGGCACCCCUGCUGCAGCCUGCGAUUCUUACGCCCUGUAUUUCUGGUCUAACAUCAACCAACACUUUGGCGAAAUAUAAUAAAAUGAAAUUACUAGGAGAAUGAAAGAAAGUCACAUGAAAUAAAAGCCCUGCUUUUUAAUGAUUAUAUCCUCUGUGAAAUGGAUCUGCAGCCCUCUCCAUUUCUGGGUUCCCCUGGCCACACCAUGCUUAUGGCUGUCCCAGGAGCAGGCUGACAGACAAGCUUCCACCAGCAUCUAACCAUGGGGCUCAUGGACACCGUAGAGCGUCUCCACCCAACAGAAUCCUGACUUGGGGGCAGCUGAGGCAGGGGGCCCGAGCGUUGAGGGGACCACGCUGCUGCCCCGAGACCUGCUGGCAUGCCACCUGGCCAACCCUGACUUCGCCUGCCCGGGCGCAUGUUAACUGAGUUACAACACUGAGGGCACUUGAACCUGGCUGCAUGACCAGAGAUCGAUCACCUGUGAGAUCCUCUGUGAAACGGGAUAAGCAUCUUUAAUUUCCUGGGCUGUUCUGGAACUUCAGUCAGACAGGACACAGGAGGGUGUCUGCACCACCCACCCCUGCCUCGUGGGCUGACUGGGAACUAUAUGACCUGUGGAGGGCUGUGACCGCCACCCUCCACCUCACUGGGGCCGCAAGCCUUCUCUGCUCCUUGAUUCUGCUGCCGUUGUGAGCGAGGGCCCCAGCACCCUUAGGGACCCCAAUCAAUGGGCUUCCCACAAUGUCGUCACCCUUUGUUGCCUGCUAAGCAGCCCUGGGGCCACCUCAGAAGAAACAGAACUCACAGGUCACAGGGGCCUUUUCCUCCUCGUCAUCGUCCUCCUCCUCUUCUUCUUCCUCCCUGGGCAACUUCCUGAAUUCGGAAAGGUCUGUCUGUAGCAGCUGUGAAACUGCUUCGUGGGCCAGAGCAGCAGCAAGUGGUGGCGGGGCCUUCCUAGGGAUGAGGAGGGGGAAGUGAGGGGCAGCCCCCAGCAGGAGACCACACCUAGCCCCCCUUCCCCAACUGUCAGCCCACAUGCUGAGGGGUCACGGCCAGCAGGGCGGCCCCUGUCCUCAGGGAGCUGGGACAGGAAGGUCACAGGACAGCAAAGGCAGACGCACAACCAUCUGGUGGGGAGCUGGACCAUACUUGAGCCUGCGGCUAG
This 1655-nucleotide long non-coding RNA is filed under the name Homo sapiens (human). RNAcentral describes it as "long non-coding RNA NONHSAT083724.2". The record is from RNAcentral. Lineage: Eukaryota; Metazoa; Chordata; Mammalia; Primates; Hominidae.